This 253-nucleotide ribosomal RNA is filed under the name uncultured bacterium. Its description in RNAcentral is "partial 16S ribosomal RNA". It matches the Rfam family "Bacterial small subunit ribosomal RNA", at positions 524 to 776 of the family's 1533-position model. The record is from RNAcentral.
UACGUAGGAGGCGAGCGUUAUCCGGAUUCACUGGGCGUAAAGCGCGUGCAGGCGGUUUGGUUAGUUAGGCGUGAAAGCUCCCGGCUCAACUGGGAGAGGUCGUCUAAUACUGCCGGACUAGAGAAUGGUAGAGGAAAAUGGAAUUCCCGGUGUAGUGGUGAAAUGCGUAGAUAUCGGGAGGAACACCAGUGGCGAAGGCGAUUUUCUGGACCAUUUCUGACGCUCAGACGCGAAAGCUAGGGUAGCAAACGGG